RNAcentral lists this unclassified non-coding RNA (1313 nucleotides) under Leishmania donovani. RNAcentral describes it as "gene:unknown". The record is from RNAcentral. Lineage: Eukaryota; Euglenozoa; Kinetoplastea; Trypanosomatida; Trypanosomatidae.
ACUGAAUGAUCUCCAAGCAUGCACAGAGAGCGCGCGUCUGUUCCUAGACUAGAUCCCUCAUUUCUUUUGUUUUCAUUUCUUACGUGCAUACAUGUCACCGAUCAUACCUGUUCUCUUCUCUCCUGCUGCUUUUUCGUAUUAUCGUCUCGCUGCCACCGCCCCUCGAUGACGGGGGGGGGAACCCCUCACAGUGCGUGGUAUCACAGGGUCCGGUACACCCCUGCGCGGUGGGCAAGCCGAGCGGCCACCCUCUAUCCCUGGCAAUGCCCAACCAGUUUAUGGUGGUGUCAGAGUCGGGCGCCUACGACGCGGGCAUGCCAGAGCAAUGCAUCGCUGCUGGUGUCGGCGGUGAGGUCCUGGACGGCGUGGCGUCGGAGCGACCUGCGUCAGUACGCACAGCUUGUGCGAUCCCUAUGAGGACGCAGGGUGUCGGCGCGACUGGGAACGCAUCCCGCCCCCCGCCCCUCACGCUGCCCACUGGUGUGGUGGGGGGAGCCCGAGCCACCUCGCGAGGGAUGCACCAGAGGUGGGGACCUGCAUGAUGGGGCGGGUAGAGUUUGAGGCGACGAGCAGAGCGGGGGGCGGGUGGAGGUUGUGGCGGCGGAUGGCCGUGCUCUCGCAUGGCUGAGCUGGCCCAUUGCUGCGACGCGCGUGUCCACCGGGUGCUUCCCACCACGCGAUGAGGAGAGGCGGGGGGGGGAGCCUGCGACAAGCCGGUGGGGUGGGUGGUAGAGUGAGGUUUGACUCAUGUUGUAUAUCAGAGAUGGUGGACAUGUUGACCAGAAGCGUCCCCCUCCCUGCCAUUGCCCGCGAGACGGGGGGAUUUGAAGCUCUUAAGGCGAGCGGCUGAAAAAAAAAGGUGCAGUUCGCUUUAUAUGGGUCGCAGUAUAGGCAGAGGGCAGCUCAUCAUUGGCAACUGAAGGCAACUUGUUUGAGGUGUGACAGCGAUGAUGUAAUUGAUGUGUGCGCGCGUACUAUGCAGCAGAGCUGACCGUUGUGCACCAAGGCGCGUACACCCCAAGAGACCAGUACAUUCCCCUUUUCCCUUUGCUCGACCUCCGUGCUUCCUGUUGAUCCCCGCCGCAGACUCGCACCUGUCUCUUUGCGUACUCGCGACGGCUCUCCGAUGCCCGCCCCCUCCCCCCUGCUGCUGUCUGCGCGACCUCCCCUUCUUCAUCCUAUGCACUGCCUCUCUCCUCUUUCUUCUCCUCCUCACACCCUGCGUGUUCGCCUCCACACGCGCACGCACGCCUGGACACCGACUCUUGCUUGGCCCACUGUUUUAUGUGCUUUUUUCACCUUGCCGUUGCCAG